This 441-nucleotide ribosomal RNA is filed under the name uncultured bacterium. RNAcentral's name for it is "partial 16S ribosomal RNA". It matches the Rfam family "Bacterial small subunit ribosomal RNA", at positions 338 to 795 of the family's 1533-position model. The record is from RNAcentral.
CCUACGGGAGGCAGCAGUGGGGAAUAUUGCACAAUGGGGGAAACCCUGAUGCAGCGACGCCGCGUGAGCGAGGCAGUAUUUCGGUAUGUAAAGCUCUAUCAGCAGGGACGAAAAAAGACGGUACCUGACUAAGAAGCCCCGGCUAACUACGUGCCAGCAGCCGCGGUAAUACGGAGGGGGCAAGCGUUAUCCGGAUGUACUGGGUGUAAAGGGAGCGUAGGCGGUUCAGCAAGUCAGAAGUGAAAGCCCGGGGCUCAACUCCGGGACUGCUUUUGAAACUGUUGAACUAGAUUGCAGGAGAGGUAAGUGGAAUUCCUAGUGUAGCGGUGAAAUGCGUAGAGAUUAGGAGGAACACCAGUGGCGAAGGCGGCUUACUGGACUGUAAAUGACGCUGAGGCUCGAAAGCGAGGGGAGCAAACAGGAUUAGAUACCCUAGUAGUC